RNAcentral lists this ribosomal RNA (400 nucleotides) under uncultured bacterium. RNAcentral's name for it is "bacterial SSU rRNA". It matches the Rfam family "Bacterial small subunit ribosomal RNA", at positions 361 to 776 of the family's 1533-position model. The record is from RNAcentral.
AUAUUGCGCAAUGGGCGAAAGCCUGACGCAGCAACGCCGCGUGCGGGAUGAAGGCCUUCGGGUUGUAAACCGCUUUCAGUGGGGACGAAAACAGACGGUACCCACAGAAGAAGCCCCGGCCAACUACGUGCCAGCAGCCGCGGUAACACGUAGGGGGCGAGCGUUGUCCGGAUUUAUUGGGCGUAAAGAGCUCGUAGGCGGCUCGGUAAGUGAGGUGUGAAAACUCCAGGCUCAACCUGGAGACGCCACCUCAUACUGCCGUGGCUAGAGUCCGGUAGGGGAGCAUGGAAUUCCUGGUGUAGCGGUGAAAUGCGCAGAUAUCAGGAGGAACACCAGUGGCGAAGGCGGUGCUCUGGGCCGGAACUGACGCUGAGGAGCGAAAGCGUGGGGAGCAAACAGG